AGCGAACGUUAGCGGCGGGCCUAACACAUGCAAGUCGAACGCGAAAGGUCUUCGGACUGAGUAGAGUGGCGCACGGGUGAGUAACACGUAGGUAAUCUACCCUUUGGCGGGGGAUAACGUUUCGAAAGGAGCGCUAAUACCGCAUAAGACCACGGAGUCUCCGGACGCUGUGGGAAAAGGUGGCCUCUUCUUGAAAGCUACCACCGAAGGAUGAGCCUGCGUCCCAUCAGCUAGUUGGUAAGGUAAUGGCUUACCAAGGCGAAGACGGGUAGCUGGUUUGAGAGAAUGAUCAGCCACACUGGCACUGGAACACGGGCCAGACUCCUACGGGAGGCAGCAGUGGGGAAUAUUGCGCAAUGGGCGAAAGCCUGACGCAGCCACGCCGCGUGAGCGAUGAAGGCCUUCGGUCGGU
This 412-nucleotide ribosomal RNA is filed under the name uncultured bacterium. RNAcentral describes it as "bacterial SSU rRNA". It matches the Rfam family "Bacterial small subunit ribosomal RNA", at positions 29 to 426 of the family's 1533-position model. The record is from RNAcentral.